GAGACAGGUGCUGCAUGGCUGUCGUCAGCUCGUGUUGUGAAAUGUUGGGUUAAGUCCCGCAACGAGCGCAACCCUUAUCCUUUGUUGCCAGCGAUUCGGUCGGGAACUCAAAGGAGACUGCCGGUGAUAAACCGGAGGAAGGUGGGGAUGACGUCAAGUCAUCAUGGCCCUUACGAGUAGGGCUACACACGUGCUACAAUGGCGCAUACAAAGAGAAGCGACCUCGCGAGAGCAAGCGGACCUCACAAAGUGCGUCGUAGUCCGGAUCGGAGUCUGCAACUCGACUCCGUGAAGUCGGAAUCGCUAGUAAUCGUGGAUCAGAAUGCCACGGUGAAUACGUUCCCGGGCCUUGUACACACCGCCCGUCACACCAUGGGAGUGGGUUGCAAAAGAAGUAGGUAGCUUAACCUUCGGGAGGGCGCUUACCACU
Molecule: ribosomal RNA, 430 nt
Filed under: Pantoea sp.
Lineage: Bacteria; Pseudomonadati; Pseudomonadota; Gammaproteobacteria; Enterobacterales; Erwiniaceae
Description: bacterial SSU rRNA
Rfam family: Bacterial small subunit ribosomal RNA
Source: RNAcentral